RNAcentral lists this transfer RNA (68 nucleotides) under Salmo salar (Atlantic salmon). It matches the Rfam family "tRNA". From Rfam's summary of the family: Transfer RNA (tRNA) molecules are approximately 80 nucleotides in length. Their secondary structure includes four short double-helical elements and three loops (D, anti-codon, and T loops). The record is from Rfam by way of RNAcentral. Lineage: Eukaryota; Metazoa; Chordata; Actinopteri; Salmoniformes; Salmonidae.
CCCUGUGGCUCAGUUGGUAGAGCAUGGUGUGUGCAACGCCAGGGUCGUGGGUUCAAUUCCCACAGGGG